GACGAACGCUGGCGGCGUGCUUAACACAUGCAAGUCGAACGGAAAGACCCUGCUUUUGUGGGGUGCUCGAGUGGCGAACGGGUGAGUAACACGUGAGUAACCUGCCCUUGACUUUGGGAUAACUUCAGGAAACUGGGGCUAAUACCGGAUAGGAGCUCCUGCUGCAUGGUGGGGGUUGGAAAGUUUCGGCGGUUGGGGAUGGACUCGCGGCUUAUCAGCUUGUUGGUGGGGUAGUGGCUUACCAAGGCUUUGACGGGUAGCCGGCCUGAGAGGGUGACCGGCCACAUUGGGACUGAGAUACGGCCCAGACUCCUACGGGAGGCAGCAGUGGGGAAUAUUGCACAAGGGGCGGAAGCCUGAUGCAGCAACGCCGCGUGCGGGAUGACGGCCUUCGGGUUGUAAACCGCUUUCGCCUGUGACGAAGCGUGAGUGACGGUAAUGGGUAAAGAAGCACCGGCGAACUACGU
RNAcentral lists this ribosomal RNA (467 nucleotides) under uncultured bacterium. RNAcentral's name for it is "partial 16S ribosomal RNA". It matches the Rfam family "Bacterial small subunit ribosomal RNA", at positions 28 to 506 of the family's 1533-position model. The record is from RNAcentral.